AAAGUCGUAACAAGGUAACCGUAGGUGAACCUGCGGUUGGAUCAUUAACAAAAUCUUAUUGAUUUUUCCUUCCCUUUUGGGGAAAAAAAGGAAAUCUCUUUAACACUUUCGUGUGAACUGUUUAUUGUCUUUUGGUGUGGUAACGGAUUUUAAUUAAUCUUAAUGAAGGGGUAUCUCUACCUUUUUCAGGCCCACCAAACUAUUUAACUCUUGUUUUUAUGCCUUUAAUUUUUAAAUUUAUGAAAUUUGAAAAACAACUUUUAACAACGGAUCUCUAGGCUCUC
Molecule: unclassified non-coding RNA, 284 nt
Filed under: Chytridiomycota sp.
Lineage: Eukaryota; Fungi; Chytridiomycota
Description: partial contains small subunit ribosomal RNA, internal transcribed spacer 1, and 5.8S ribosomal RNA
Rfam family: Eukaryotic small subunit ribosomal RNA (bases 1-47)
Source: RNAcentral